This 1346-nucleotide ribosomal RNA is filed under the name uncultured bacterium. RNAcentral's name for it is "partial 16S ribosomal RNA". It matches the Rfam family "Bacterial small subunit ribosomal RNA", at positions 28 to 1381 of the family's 1533-position model. The record is from RNAcentral.
GACGAACGCUGGCGGCGUGCUUAACACAUGCAAGUCGAACGGAAAGGCCCUGCUUUUGUGGGGUGCUCGAGUGGCGAACGGGUGAGUAACACGUGAGUAACCUGCCCUUGACUUUGGGAUAACUUCAGGAAACUGGGGCUAAUACCGGAUAGGAGCUCCUGCUGCAUGGUGGGGGUUGGAAAGUUUCGGCGGUUGGGGAUGGACUCGCGGCUUAUCAGCUUGUUGGUGGGGUAGUGGCUUACCAAGGCUUUGACGGGUAGCCGGCCUGAGAGGGUGACCGGCCACAUUGGGACUGAGAUACGGCCCAGACUCCUACGGGAGGCAGCAGUGGGGAAUAUUGCACAAUGGGCGGAAGCCUGAUGCAGCAACGCCGCGUGCGGGAUGACGGCCUUCGGGUUGUAAACCGCUUUCGCCUGUGACGAAGCGUGAGUGACGGUAAUGGGUAAAGAAGCACCGGCUAACUACGUGCCAGCAGCCGCGGUGAUACGUAGGGUGCGAGCGUUGUCCGGAUUUAUUGGGCGUAAAGGGCUCGUAGGUGGUUGAUCGCGUCGGAAGUGUAAUCUUGGGGCUUAACCCUGAGCGUGCUUUCGAUACGGGUUGACUUGAGGAAGGUAGGGGAGAAUGGAAUUCCUGGUGGAGCGGUGGAAUGCGCAGAUAUCAGGAGGAACACCAGUGGCGAAGGCGGUUCUCUGGGCCUUUCCUGACGCUGAGGAGCGAAAGCGUGGGGAGCGAACAGGCUUAGAUACCCUGGUAGUCCACGCUGUAAACGGUGGGUACUAGGUGUGGGGUCCAUUCCACGGGUUCUGUGCCGUAGCUAACGCUUUAAGUACCCCGCCUGGGGAGUACGGCCGCAAGGCUAAAACUCAAAGGAAUUGACGGGGCCCCGCACAAGCGGCGGAGCAUGCGGAUUAAUUCGAUGCAACGCGUAGAACCUUACCUGGGUUUGACAUGGAUCGGGAGUGCUCAGAGAUGGGUGUGCCUCUUUUGGGGUCGGUUCACAGGUGGUGCAUGGCUGUCGUCAGCUCGUGUCGUGAGAUGUUGGGUUAAGUCCCGCAACGAGCGCAACCCUUGUUCACUGUUGCCAGCACGUUAUGGUGGGGACUCAGUGGAGACCGCCGGGGUCAACUCGGAGGAAGGUGGGGAUGACGUCAAGUCAUCAUGCCCCUUAUGUCCAGGGCUUCACGCAUGCUACAAUGGCUGGUACAGAGAGUGGCGAGCCUGUGAGGGUGAGCGAAUCUCGGAAAGUCGGUCUCAGUUCGGAUUGGGGUCUGCAACUCGACCUCAUGAAGUCGGAGUCGCUAGUAAUCGCAGAUCAGCAACGCUGCGGUGAAUACGUUCCCGGGGCU